UACGAAGGGGGCUAGCGUUGCUCGGAAUCACUGGGCGUAAAACGCACGUAGGCGGCUUGUUAAGUCAGGGGUGAAAUCCUGGAGCUCAACUCCAGAACUGCCUUUGAUACUGGCGAGCUUGAGUUCGGGAGAGGUGAGUGGAACUGCGAGUGUAGAGGUGAAAUUCGUAGAUAUUGGGAAGAACACCGGUGGCGAAGGCGGCUCUCUGGACCGACACUGACGCUGAGGCGCGAAAGCGUGGGGAGCAAACAGG
This 253-nucleotide ribosomal RNA is filed under the name uncultured bacterium. RNAcentral's name for it is "partial 16S ribosomal RNA". It matches the Rfam family "Bacterial small subunit ribosomal RNA", at positions 524 to 776 of the family's 1533-position model. The record is from RNAcentral.